CUGACAGUAUCUAAAGUAAUAUAAAGACAGUUUGAUAAACUGGUUAACAAUGUUUAUUUUUUCAUUUCAGCUAAUAUGCCGUGCGAAAAAGCAAAAUAAAUAUUUCAUUUUAAUGUUUAUUAAGCUGAACCGACAUUAUAUUUUUCAUCUAAAACGUUUUUGAUGUGUUUUUUUCUCAUCGCGUUUAGGCGUCGUGUAUCAGAUUGCAACUGCUAAUAAUUUCGUCGUCUGAGGCGGACUGUUAUGGAGGUACCAAAUCUUCAGUGAUGAUGAAUGCGUUCACGCUUCUACGAGCCGGUAAUUGGCGGUAUCCAGAUUAUCGUCGUACUUAUCGAUUAUCGUUAGCUUACCUAAGCUACCGAAAUUAGCGACAGUGUAAAAUGCAAGAGAAAGACAAAUUGACGAUUAAAGUAAUAUAAUUAAAAUUAAUGGUUUACAUGGAUUGCGCUCCACUAACAAUAUCUUUCUCUUAUAGUUUUAUUUAAGCUGUGCUGUGAGAAUUUCAGCUGGCUCUCACAACCGUCCGGAAGUCGCAGUAAUUUGGUAACAUCAAGAUCAUCACCACCGUACGAAGCGCAGCAUAUUGGAGCAAGCCCAAGCGGACAGCAACCAUCUGCAGCAAACGUACGCCGAACGAAUGGACGUGGUAGACGCGUUAUGAUUGCGAGGCGAUACUUGCGCUCUGAAAUUGCUAGCACAGAUGUUUGGGCCACAGAGUUUCAGAUAGACCGUUCUCAUCAAUGCCACACCAUGUACGGUCGGUUAGUUACGCUUCAUCACGAAGGACAAUCAUAUCUGGGUAACGGAAUGCUGCCAAAACGAUGAAGCUGGCUUAGACCUCGAUGACGACAACAAAUUGUUUGAACAUGUUCAACAAACAAACAUGUUGUUUUGGCUUCUCAUAAUUAAUGGUGAAUGCUGCAAAUCUCCGUGAUAAACGUUUUCGUGCGCUGAAUAAGGUUUGUAUGAAAAAUAGUGUAUUUUUAGAAUAUUUUAUUUUUCAAUAAAGUAACGGUAAAUUUGAAAUACACUGUGUUGAUAAACAACCCGAAUGAAAGAAAUACACGGAUAAACUAAUGUAAACAAUACACGAAAGAACGGGAGGUCCGUUUCAUCCGUACCCCCCCACGCCCAAUCAUGUCUUCCGUUGGGCGCCUGAGCCAUGCACGGUUGGGCGCCCGUUUCUCCUCCUCCGGCGCCGUCAGUUUAGCUGUUAAUUGCCUGCCGGGUAUUCUUUAAAAAUAUAUUUUGGACUUUGCGACUUCUUAUUAAACAUUAGAACAUGGAUUAAAGUGUGUUAUUUUGUGUUAUUCCAUGAAUUUAUUCCAUAAUUCAUUGUGUUUUCGACAUUUUUGAAUAUAAAAACUAAGAAAUCUUUUUGUUUUCAAUUUUUACAUUAAUUCCUCAUUAUCUACAAGCCGCAUCGAAAAUUUACGUAUUUAAUCGAUAAAAUCAAUAGACACACAAAAAUGCACAUAAUAACAAAGAAAUCUGUUCUAUUUGCUAAGCUUUGUGUGCGGAAACCAAUGGUUAACGGUUCAAAAAUGACGUAAAGUCCCUCAACUAUGGCGACCCCCCAAAGGCCCUAAUCCACCACCUGAUAUUGUUAAUCCACCUUGAAGCAGAACUCAGAGAAGAAGCUUUAAAUGAACUGGCGCUCAGUGACGUCACGGAUCGCACUGAAUCCCAUCUAAAGAAUUUUAUGUUCAAACCUGCUCGAGUCAACACCACACCCGCUGUCAAAAUUAAAUUAAAACGAAACUCUUUUGUUUACUUUUUAUUCAAAGAUAACCGCGUCGCUUUUCGUGCGCUUAUAAAACUCAGUUUUAUUGUAGAUUUCUGUGUACCAACUUGAUUUCCUUGCUACCUAUCUGUGUUACCUGUAAGUAUGGAGAUAAAUAUUAAAAAUAAGACAUUUUAAAGACAUGCAAAACUCAUAUACUUAACUUUUACAGCUGUGAUUGUGGGUGGUUGUUGUGUGCAUUUCGAUCGGGAGUUGCUAAUUGUUGUUCACCUGUAAAACCUGUUACCAUGAGCGGUUCGAAUGUGGGAGCUACUAGCUGUGGAUGCGGGCAAGAAUGCAAUUGCACAAGCAUUGCUAACGAAAAUGCCAAACAAUUACAUACUUUAAAAAAUUUGAUACUAGAUGCAAAUAUGAAAUUAGACGAGCUUAUGGAAAUACAACUAAAUCAACAAAUCCAGCCUCAGGCAAUUAAUGAAAAUGUGGUGCUGGAAGAAGUAAUUGAAGAAGCUUUCGCGGUAAUUUCAUCCAAAGUAGAUUUGGACAAACUCGAGCAGGAUUUGGUGGUGACGGAGCAUUACCGAUCGAUUAAAUCAGGUCUCAUGAAAAGGAUCAAGUCGGUUGGGAUUAAAGCAAGGCUGCAUGACGCUCUGUAUCUAGUUUUUAAUAGAAUUUUUCUAUCUGAGUGCUCUUGGAGCGGAAUCGGUCGCAGCGGACCUAAAAUUGAAUUUAGGAAAUAUGUACACAUUCUACAACUAUUUAAGGAAAUUUCAGGCAGCAGAGAUUAUUCGGAAGUAGAGAAAUUUUUCAGUACAAAGUUACGAAAUGCAGGAACAGCAGCAAAAAGGACCGGAGUGGUCAAAAGCGUUAGUCGAGGACAAUACUCGAAAAAAAAGACAUGUAAUAUAAAGAAUUAAUACUGUAAAUAGUACUUAACGUAGAUAUAGGUAAGAAAGUAUGUUGAACUUAAUUUUAAUGGUGUAGAUAAAGAAUUUGUGAAAUAUUAACCAUUUUAAGUAAUACUUAUAAGUUGUGCACUGGCUGUGCAUUCUUUAAUUCACAGUUGCAAGCAGUUAAGUUUGUUGUUUUAAGUGAAUAGCGAAGAUUUAUAUGAAUGUGAAGACAAGUAGAAGAAUAAAUUGAUUAUGAAACGUUCGAUGGUUAUGUUCUUAUUUUUUCUUAAUAAUAUUUAGUUAUUUCAAAUUUUGUGAUAUUUGUGGGGCUUGGCUAAAACGAUGUUGUACUUAUUUAAAACAAUACAAUAAUAUAAUUUAUUAAUCCUAAGCCCUUUUUGUGUGUGACCGUCCGCUCGGCUGCCUUAUUCCAAGAGAGCACGAUCGUCCUUUCGAUCGUGCUGAGUGGCCUCUCGGCUCGCUGAGUGACCAGCCAGUCGGAGCCGAACUGUUUGCGCAGGUUGGCUUAUCGCAUUCGC
Molecule: long non-coding RNA, 3173 nt
Organism: Anopheles gambiae (African malaria mosquito)
Lineage: Eukaryota; Metazoa; Arthropoda; Insecta; Diptera; Culicidae
Exons: 4
Source: RefSeq, a predicted model, not a curated record